Molecule: long non-coding RNA, 1752 nt
Organism: Alosa sapidissima (American shad)
Lineage: Eukaryota; Metazoa; Chordata; Actinopteri; Clupeiformes; Clupeidae
Exons: 2
Source: RefSeq, a predicted model, not a curated record
CCGGCAGAACCUGAAACGUGGUAAACCUGUUGUAAAAACAGGAAAGCAGUGGACAAAUGCACUGACUUGGACCACUACUAACAGCUUGGAUGAGUAGGCCUAUACAGAGGCAGUUUCUGUGAGGAUAGUACCAACAUACAGGGUGUGCUAAAACAAUGACAAACCCUUGUUUAGCCUACAGGCACAGAAGGUUAAGGAUGGAAAAGGAGGAAGCGUUUAAGAGUGGUGACAGAGACAGCUCAAAACAGUGAAGUAUAGGUUCAACUAGGCUGUGAGAGAGGCUAAAUAACUGUACUCUACUGUACAAACGAAAACAAUCGGUUUAACCUAGCACGAGUUGCUGCAGCCAACAGUGCUAAUGGGGGCAUGAAUAUGGGGGCUCAUGAACAUCGCCGGAAACAUCGCUAGAGCCCACAAGGUUGAAUAAUUAAAAAAAAGAUUUAAAAUGUUGUAACUCAGUGAUAACAGGAAGUGCAUUUGAUUAGUUAGCAGAAAGCAUCUGAGAACAGUUUGGUUGUAAGUCUAGAUUUAAAACUGGCUACAGUUGGGGCCUUUUUGAGCUGAUUUUGGUUUGCGUAGCUCACUUAAAUGUUGUAAAAGUUACAAAGAAUAAGACACUGUAUUAUGUGAUGGCUCCGUUAUUUCAACCAAAACAUGUCUGAGCCUAGGUGAGAGAUUUCUGAGGCCUCUGCAAGCUAUUGUAUGCUGUACCUAUGGGAACUAGAAGAGACAACAAAAUUGGUGUGAAAGCACAUUCUAACACAGAGCUUGAAUAUUAUCCAACAAUGGAUUAAAGGUUUCUGAGUUAAUAGAUAGAUAGACACUUUAUUGAUCCCUAGGGGAAAUUCAAGAAAUGUUAAUGCUAAAUAUGGUAGGGUACAGAUCCCAAAUUGCAAAAUGUGUGCAGCUCUAGGUUUUACAGCUACAAUCUUCUGCAAUAUAAAAGCAUAUGUAACACGAUUUUAAAAACUUUUAUUUAGGUAAUAAACAUAUAGAGCCCAAAGUUAAACACAGAGCAAAGUACAAAGUCAGUGAAGGAGCAGUCUCCAUGAACUAAAGCUAUUGUGUGGCAUGUGAGAGUGUUGAGCCACCCCAGUUCCUUCCCUGUGUCUCCAGCCAGGUUGGAUAUUUGUUUGUCACUGCGACAAAUUAGUACGAUUACGGUAGUAGCAGUGGCCAUGCUUUUGGAUUCACUCACCUGUGCACUGGAUCCCUCUAGGUCCUUAGAAGACUGCUGGCCACAAACUGCUUUAAGGUUACCGCUGAAUGGUUGUCAACAUUCUAUGUGACAAUAUGGCUGUUCUGUUUCUGGUUUCAUUUCAUACUGUCUUGCCUCCGGUCAUGUGAUGUCUGUGUCUGCUCUCCCUGUGCUUGGACAACGCUGGUUCGAGUGCUGGUACAGGUGUGAGCUGUACAACGGCCGAAACCUGUUGCACCAUCCAGACUCAUCUGUGUUCAGUCUGUGCUUAUUCUUUGUUAUUUUCAUUUAGUGUAUUGUAUUUAUUUUUCUGUUCUGUGCUUAGGCUAAAUGGGGAACUCCCUUUAAGGCGUUUACUGUGUGCUGUGCUGUGCUUUGCCGUGCCUAUUGACUUGUACUGUUAAUUCACCCAGCUUGAUGUGUCUUUUGUGGAGCACUCUGACUUGCACCUUGGUUGGGGAUGUUGCAUCCCUCUCCUAAGUUCCCUGGAAACAAGCCUAAGCGCCGAGUAGACUUUUUUGUUUGUUUAAUAAAUCAUAUUAUAAUUUUGUAAA